GCCGGGCAUAGUGGUGCAUGCCUGUAGUCCCAGCUACUGAGGAGGCUGAGGUGGAAGGAUUGCUUGAGCCCAGGAUAUUGAGGCUGCAAUGAGCUGUGAUCGUGCCACUGCACUCUAGCCUGGGCGACAAAGCCAGACCCUGUCUCAA
Molecule: non-coding RNA, 148 nt
Filed under: Pan troglodytes (chimpanzee)
Lineage: Eukaryota; Metazoa; Chordata; Mammalia; Primates; Hominidae
Source: Rfam by way of RNAcentral